AGGGGGCGGCGGCGCGCUGGAGGGGCCUUGGGCGUGGUGGCCCGGAGGAUGACAGCCUAGGGUGGGGCGGCCUGGGGACGCGCGCCGAGACGCGAUGUUGGCGACGGCGGCUCCUAGGGGGGCGCCAGGAACCGGCGGACGGGUGCAUCAAGCGGCUAACGGCGUCUCAGCUAUGUGACGAGGCGGGUAGCAGGGCGGGCUGGUGAACUCGGUAACCGCACGGCAGUCGACCAGCGGGUCGCGGCGGGAUGUGUGGGUUCGUGAUAGCACCCGCUGGUCCCACUGGCUGGUCGCGGUGACCCCCGACGUCGAUGGAGGACGGCGUCGGAGUGCGCCGGCGAUUUCGUGGAACGAGUGGCUAAUAAAACAGAGCCAACGACGAAAGGUUCUAAGGACAGCGAGCGAGCGUCCGGCCGUAGGAACGCGCUGUGGCGGCAGAUUCUGGCUAGGACCGUCGUCAUUCAGUGGUCUUUUUCCGAGGCUGGGCAUGGACGGUCUAGAGCGGUGGUACUGGUGAGUGGAGCACUACAGCCGCUGGACGGUUUCGGAUUCGCCGCUGGACAGGCUCCGGAUUCGUGUUUGAAGCACGAACUUAGAAGAGGUUUAACUACAACGAACGUUGCCGUCCCCGUUUCGUACAUCAGGUGGUGAUACUGCCCUCCUUGACGAAGAUGAAAAGAAGACUUUAAAGCUACGGUACAGAACUAAAAAUCUCCAUCAAAAACCAAACAUGGCUGGUAAAUUCUACCAUAGAGUAAACUUACAACAUACGUACGUCCGGUUGCGAGAAACACCGUGGCGCCUCGACAAACGGACCGCCCAGCUCGUCCAGCAGUUCCCUGGCGAGCUCCAGCGGCCGGCGUUCCUACCUGCUUCUGUCUCUGCAUCCAUCGUCCCUGUCCUUCGCGCUGACUUUUACUCUCUCACUGCUACUUUAUGUCACAUGCGAUGUGGUACAAAGGAUAAAGAUGAUCUCCGAUCUCUAUUCGUGUAAACAGAUAAUAGUCUC
Molecule: ribosomal RNA, 1009 nt
Filed under: Triticum aestivum (bread wheat)
Lineage: Eukaryota; Viridiplantae; Streptophyta; Magnoliopsida; Poales; Poaceae
Description: partial small subunit ribosomal RNA
Source: RNAcentral